CUCAAUGGCGGCUGUGUGCGGGCGGACUUCGGUCCGGCCGGGUUCGGGGUUACCGGUUUCUCACUCCGCACAUAGCUGCCACCCUU
RNAcentral lists this non-coding RNA (86 nucleotides) under Pseudomonas arsenicoxydans. The record is from RNAcentral. Lineage: Bacteria; Pseudomonadati; Pseudomonadota; Gammaproteobacteria; Pseudomonadales; Pseudomonadaceae.